GCGGGUUGGGUCGGGGUGAAUACGGGGCUGGAGGUUAUCGCCGUGCGAGGCGGGCAGCCUCAGGCGUGGUGGUGGACGCCGUUGGAGCAAAAUAUAAAAAGCAGGAGAGGCCGAUCGUAAAGUGGAUGGUAAACACGUGUCGGAGCAAUAAAGGUUAAUAAGAGCGUGAGAUUUUUAUGGGGCUGUUUACGAGGAGGAAGUAGGGAGGCUGCGUUAUAAUAAAGCACGGAACCUUUACUCCUUCGAAUUCCCGAGGAUUCGUGGCUCGGACGUUCUCACCUUCAAGGCACGGGCAUUCUUUCUGCCAGAAGUCGUCUGUGCGUUUUUCAAAGGCUGCAGCUUUUUCCCAUUGUACUGCUUCAGUGUGCUCCUGGGGUGUGUUUCGACAGGAGCUCCCUUGAUCUAGAAGAAAACUUGGUGGAGAUGUUCACCUUAAAACAUGCUUUGCUUCUGAUCUGCAAGAGCUCGGCCUUCCUGAGCAUCUUGAUUUGUUUUAUUUCUUGUUUUUUGCUUGUGUCUGUCUGUCGCUUCAGGCUUAGAUCUUUGAACUAGCAGUCACAAUAAUUGCUGAAUAACCUCCUAGUGCCUUUAGCUGUCUUUUCUAUUGCUUUUUUUUAUAGAAUAGCUUAUCAGCUAGAUUAAAACACUGCAGUGACUUGGCACCACGUGUACACAGUAAACUUUUUUUUCUUCAUUCCCCUUAGCUGUAUUCUUGGGAGCUCUGUAACGUGAGGUAUCUGUAUGCAGGUCUGUAAGAGGCAGCUUUACUGGAAAGAAUAUUGCUGUGGCACAUGUUUAAAAAUCCUUACACCUUUACUGUGUUAUAGGAAAUGGGAAGGUGGGUGCAGCAUGCAUCCAGCAGGUUUAUGUCCUGUUGCAUCUCUGCUGAUGAGGAGACCUCUGGGUACAGACAGAAUUUAUAUAUCUGUUCCAGGACCUGCCUGCACCUCUACGUACCAGCAGAAGCCUUAAGUAGGGAUAAUGUGAGAUUUGCUACUGAAGCAGCUGCAGUAGCCCAGUGUUCUCAGAUAUGUUUCAGCAUUCUUGUUUAUCAGACUUGACCUGAGUUUCUUAAUGCUUUACUACGAUCGGGGCAUUUUCAGUAUUGCUUCUUGUCUUUUAGUUUAUCAUUCCCCAGGAGUUUUUGCAGAUAUUUGUUGCCUUGGUAACUGCCCUUAGGUGAGAAGUACCGUUUUAAUUCAUUGGUCAGAAAAAAAACCACAAAACACAACAGUAUAAAUCAAAGCAAAAUAAAAUACUGAAUUGUUUAUUGGAAUGGGAGUUGUAAAUUAAGAAAAGUUGUGUGGGCCCUCUAAUGAUAUUUCUCUUGAGGGUUUGCAACACAGUAUCUUGAAUUGUUAUCCUAUUGCAAGGUUUUUUUGAGGCAGGAGAGAGGUUUUGGUGGAAGAAGUAUCCAGCUUCUUAAUGUACUUCAUCUUGACACAGAGCUGCCUGUGCUACAUGGAAAAAUGCCAGAUACCAAUUCUUCUGUUUCCACUUGAUUGUCCUGCCAAGAUGCUUUGUGUUUGGGGCAUAAGAGUGAAAAAAGAGCCUUUCAGCAUUUGCACUUCCAGGAAUUCCCAGAUGUCAUUUAAGCAUCAUCUUGUUCACGCUUGAUCCAAGCGCAUAAAGCUAAAAUAUACAUUAGGGGAAGGAGAUCUGGAUAGGACAAAGGAGAAAAUAUAAACUGCUUUAAAGCUAUGGGGCAGAUAAAUCUGCAAAGACUUGCUGUAGGGUUGAAUAGCUCACGGCUCUGAACUGUGGUAGACAAAGCAGGUGUGUUUGUUUAUGACAGCAAUGUGAUGGGGCCUGGUUGUCAUCUCAGGUAAAGGAAGUCUUUCUGACAUCUUGAUAAGCGUGGAACUUUCAGCCAUUUUAGCUCCGUAUGUUGCAGAAGAAAGAACAUAACUCUCCCUUCACCCUGAAUUCAGCCAGCAACAGUGAGGAGCAAGUAGUGAGGACCCCAGGCUGAGCAGGAGUCUUCAUUAAACUCAGAAGAGAAUUUCAGUUUUGGAGGUAGCUUGUGUGAGUUUAUUUACUUUGUGAAAGCUUUAUCUCGGAACUGGAAUCAUGGUCCAUGAGCUGUCUUUGUCCCAUGUGCACGCGUUGUCAUACUGUCUUCAAUCUUCUCAGUAUGUUGUGGUCUGUUUUUUAAUUUGCAUUGGCCAUUUUACUGGCUGCCCUGCUAGAGUGCUAGGGGCAACCUGCACAGUUUGGUAGCCAGUCUGUACUGUUGUAGACCUAGAACUAAUUUAAUGAUUUGACUUGAUGUGAUAUCUUUAGACUAAGAUGAUACAAAGCGGUCUUAGAAUUACCUGUUAGAUUACAUAUGUUGGUUAAAAUUAGUUGUAAAUGUAAUUUGGAAUAGCUGGUUUAGAUAUUGCAGGCAAAUGAGUAGGCACUUUGGGCUCUUUAUCCUUGUCAGCAGCACAUCUCGAGGAGGUCUUAAGUGAGGAUGUGAGUGAGAGGGUGAGUGGUUGCUGAGCGUGCAUUGUGUCAUGUUGGUACAUAGCAGGCUUCCCUUUGCAGAGAAAUGUUUUCUCUGCGGUUGCAUGCUAUGUGUUCUCUCAGAACCAAUUUCUUGAUUAUUAGAAAAACUCAGCUGAAGUUCCAGAAUGGCUUAUAUUGCUUUUGCUUGAAAUUAAUUCAAGUUUUUCAGAACCUUGGUCUGAAAAUAGGUCUUUGCUGUAGCUUUCACUUCUGUCUGCAGGCUGUUUUGUACUAUGCCUUUCAUAAUAAUAACAUCGUUCUUAUUUGCUAGAUUUCAGCAUUACACAUGUCAAAGUAAAUCCGUCAUUCUUCAAACAUCUUAUUUAAAAUUCAGUUUUUCACUGCAUCCGUAAAUAUUCUUUGCUAUUUUUUACUCAAAGUGUGUGGUUCAAAAGCAAUUGCAGCAUAUAUAUAUCUGGGAUAUCCACAAAUGCUUCAGAAUCAGUUGGCUUUCCAACUGAGGAUUCGUGCCUGUUUUCCCAAACCAGAGGAGAUGGUUAUUUAUGAAGUCUGUAACUGAAGUAUCUGGCAUCGUUCAAGUCCACGUACGAAAGUGAUAGCAUCUUGCUUAACUUACUCUAGAGAUUUGCAGGAUGGAUACCAAGCAUCCUAAUACAUGCAAACAUUUUACAAGGUAAAGCUUUGAAUGGUUCUUCCUGUGGGAAAGCAAUGAAAUAAUGAUCUUUCAGGAACAGAAAUAUUUUGAAUGUCAUCUCUAGGUCUUGCAGUUCCCAUAGGUAAAACAGUGUGAAGGAAACUCUUCUCUCAUUGACAGUGCUAGAUUCCCUUCUAGAUCACUGUCUUAAAAUCUCCCUGCCACCUCAGCUGUACCUGCUCAUUAUUUACUGUCCACAAAUUCCUGUUUUCUAUUUAAGCUUUUAAGUAAUAAUUAAAAAAAAAAGAAGUCUUGUGACAACUUGACUUAGUGAAGAAUUGCAUUUCUUCUCUGUAUUGUCUUGCCUGUCUUUGUGUUAUGACUGCAGAGUGCUUAGCACGAUUCCUGAGUAGAACAGUGAAGAGUCCUUGCACAAUCAAAAGAGCUGUUAGGAUUUACUGUUGGGAAUGAUCAAUGUGUAAGGUCUUCGGAGAAGGGGUUGCGUAUUUACUUCAGGGGUUUUGACUGCUCAGAAGCUUGUGUGAGUGCAUUUCUGGUUCUGUGGUACUAUGUUCCUAGUAUAGCUGAAAGUUACAGCUUACACUUACUCAGAUGAGAAAACUUUUCUGCUAGAAUUUCUAACUUAGUUCCUUACCACCACAUAAAAUACAUGAUACACUAAAUAGAAGGAACGGGCAGCAGCACAGGGAGAAAAGGUUCAAAAAGACUGCUGUAAUUAGCUUUUGGGCAAAAAAUGCCAAGCGUGUGUGUGCUUCCAAAACCAACAAGGGAGACCUGGCCAGUUCAGCAGUUCUUGAAAUGUUGGUAAACGUGGGGAUUCCCUGGAAGGGAGGUUUUUGUCUCUCUUCCAAGUUGCUGCCAAAUUCUAUUGGGUAAAGAAGAGCAUUGGUAGUUUCUGUGUUGAUGAGGUGGACUUCAGCAAAGUGAACUUGGACUCAUUUCAAAACAGUGACGACUCCUUUAAGUUUGUACACUUCAGUCUUUUCUUUCCGUACAGAGCAUGAUGGUGAACGAGUGUGUGCGUGUGUGGAGGAACUUGUCUGAGCCAUGGGCUCUGUCAGAGACCAUGUAUGGGUAAAGCACUUGGGCCAGUUCAGCCCUCUGCUCCUCCCUCCUGGAGAGCCGAGCAGAAUCCCUUCUGCUGAAAUGCUUGUUCCACUUUCUAUAUUUGUACAGCAGCAGCAGCAGCUAGCUAAGCGGUGUGGCCGGCCUUGUGUGUGUGUGUGCGGCAUUUGCUGAGCGGAAUUGAGAGCAGGGUCACGGUCUCUGUCGUUACGUCUGUCUGUCUGUCUGCGUCUGGGGAAGACUGGCAUUCCGAGUGAAAGAACCCACGCUCAAGCAACUAUGAAAACAUCUGGCUAUCGGCCUCUGGUGCUCAACUGGGGUGAAUCUGCAUGCAGGAGCAUGCCAGCUGUGUGUACCUUCAUCUGAGAGUGAAGACUGGAAGUGCUAGAGAAGUGCAUAGCUGCAGGUAUGAACCAACUACAGUUUGUGGCCCACAGUUGCUUAUUGGAGUUUCAUGUCAAACGUUCAGAGAGAAGUUGUCUUUACUUUCAGUGAUGAAAGCAGUCACUCUCUACUCCAGCGAGCAGCAUUCCCUCAACCUUAAGCUCUUUGGAGUUUGCUGCCCUUGUGCUGCUGAAGGGUGUUGGGAGUGUAAACAAUUUAGGACUGCUAGUAACUGGCUAAUAGGCUCGUUUAGCUUCAUCUGUAACUUAAUAGUUUUAUAAAUGUAAGUAACUACAAAGUAGGAUUGUGUGUCAUGAUAGUAAUUCAUUCACUGGAAUAAAUCUCAAGUAUUCUAUUGUACAUAAAACCUUAAAGAUAUUAGUGGAAAAUCUCUGAACAGGCAUUAGUUGCAGCAUAAAAGGAAAAUAUUUGUAUGUAAAUGCUUGGAGCUAAAUGUGAGGAUUUUCUGAAGCAGUUCUGCUGAUGCCUGAAGUCCAGUAAGAGUGUAGUUUCAUGAGCCAGUUCCUCCUUCCUGCUUUAUUUG
Meleagris gallopavo (turkey) is the source of this 5099-nucleotide non-coding RNA. Lineage: Eukaryota; Metazoa; Chordata; Aves; Galliformes; Phasianidae. The record is from RefSeq and is a predicted model, not a curated record.